UCCCAGCUCCAGAUGGUAAAGAAUCUGUCUGCAAAGCAGGAGACCCAGGUUUGAUCCCUGGGUUGGGAA
RNAcentral lists this transfer RNA (69 nucleotides) under Bos taurus (domestic cattle). It matches the Rfam family "tRNA". From Rfam's summary of the family: Transfer RNA (tRNA) molecules are approximately 80 nucleotides in length. Their secondary structure includes four short double-helical elements and three loops (D, anti-codon, and T loops). The record is from Rfam by way of RNAcentral. RNAcentral also lists the same sequence under 5 other names. Lineage: Eukaryota; Metazoa; Chordata; Mammalia; Artiodactyla; Bovidae.